AGAGAGCUGUAUUAGUUUGACAAAAAUCAUAUACACUUGAGUGUACAAAAUAUUAGGAACACCUUCCUAAUAUUGAGUUGCGCGCUACAAAUGAAUAUGAUCCUUCGAUGUCGGCUCUUCCUGUCAUUGUGAAGCAGAAUUCACCAAGCGUUGGAUUGUUCACCCACUAAUAGGGAACGUGAGCUGGGAUUAGACCGUCGUGAGACAGGUUAGUUUUACCCUACUGAUGAUGUGUUGUUGCAAUAUGGAGACUCUCACGACUCUUUACGGCCCCCACAAGUGUCACAGAACUCAUCUGAAGGUAACCUGGAAACGCUUUAAAAAAUGAAUGGAAGUAUACUGAACACAACAGGUAAAGUGUUGGUCCCAUGUUUAAUGAGCUGAAAUAAAAGAUCACAGAAAUGUUCCAUAUGUACAAAAAGCUUAUUUCUCAAAAUUGUUGGGCACAAAUUUGUUUACAUGCCUGUUAGUGAGCAUUUCUCCUUUGCCAAGAUAAUCCAUCCACCUGACAGGUGUGACAUAUAAAGAAGCUGAUUAAACAGCAUGAUCAUUACACAGGUGCACCUUGUGCUUGGGACAAUAAAAGGCCACUCUAAAAUGUGCAGUUUUGCCAGACAACACAAUGCCACAGAUUUCUCAAGUUUUGGGGAAGCGUGCAAUUGGCAUGCUGACUGCAGGAAUGUCCACCAGAGCUGUUGCCAGAUAAUUUAAUGUUAAUUUCUCUACCAUAAGCCGCCUCCAACAUCGUUUUAGAGAAUUUGGCAGUACAUCCAACCGGCCUCACAACCUCAGACCACGUGUAACCACGCCAGCCAAGGAACUCCACUUCCUGCUUCUUCACCUGAAGGAUCGUCUGAUACCAACCACCCAGACAGCUGAUAAAACUGAGGAGUAUUUCUGUCUGUAAUAAAGCCCUUUUGUGGGAAAAAAACUCGGUAUGCCUUCCCAGGCCCACCCAUGGCUGCUCCCCUGCCCAGUCAUGUGAAAUCCAUAGAUUAGGGCCUAAUAAAUUUAUUUAAAUUGACUGAUUUCCUUAUAUGAACUGUAAUUCUGUAAAAUCUUAGAAAUUGUUGGCUAAAAAACGUACCCAUUUGAAACUGCCUAUUUCUCAGGCCCAGAAACUAGAAUAUGCAUAUAAUUGUCAGAUUAGGAAAGAAAAUAAACGCACCAAACAAAUGGAGGUAUUUUGGAUAUAAAAAUCAUCUUUAUGGAACAAAAGGAACAUUUAUUGUGUAACGGGGAGUCUCGUGAGUGCAAACAUCUGAAAGAUCAUCAAAGGUAAGCGAUUUAAUCUAUUGCUUUUCUGACUUUCGUGACCAAUCUACUUGGCUGCUAGCUGUUUGUAAUGUUUUGUCUACUGAGAGAUGUUCUUACAUAAACACUUGUUAUGCUUUCGCCGAAUAGCUGUUUUGAAAUCUGACAUGCCAGGUGGAUUAACAACAAGCUAAGCUGUGUUUUGCUAUAUCGCACUUGUGAUUUCAUGAAAAUUAAAUAUUUUUAGUAAUUUAAUUUGAAUUUGGCGCACUGCAAUUCAGCGGGUGUUGAUGAAAAUGAUCCCACUAAAGGGAUGGGUGUGUAAAGAAGUUAAUGGUUGUGUUUUUGUAUUCUUAUGAUUGGGACCUACUGGCUUAUUAUGUCUGAGUUUAUGGACUGCUUAUCCUUUACCAUCAUGCUGUGUGUGACUGCGGUCUUUCCAUCAGCCCUAUGCAGUGGUGCCUGUAGAAGUGGGUAUAAUUAGAGUGGGUGGGUAUACCUACUUACCCUAAUUAUUAGGGUAUACCCACUUCUACAGCCACCAUUACGCCACUGCUAACAAGAAACAAAUAAUGCUCCUGUUGUCAAUUAGAGAUAUUUUUAAAGAGCUGUGUGGAGAAGGGAAUGUGGAUAGAAGUGCUGCGUUAUUGGGAAGAAGCGAUGAUAAUCAGGGAGAAUAUCCCAUUCGCUGCCACGAAAGUAGCCAACCAAUGCAGAGAGAGAGAAAGAGAGUGAGAGCAGCUGAUUCGAUGAUCCUGCAGAACAGAGGUAAGUGCUCUACUCUACGACCUUAGGCAGAGCCAGUAGAAAAAAUCACAUAUGAUGUGGUUCACAAUUAUCAUAAUGCCGUUUUUACAACAUUGCCUUAGGUAUCCUCUGAGAGUGAUAUGUAAUGCUCUUUGAAACAGCACUCUUCAGUCAUUGUAAACUACCUCUAAUACUUACAGGGUAUUUCAAAUAGCCGUUAGGCAGGCCUAGUUAUAAGUUGUGUUUCCAAUGGUACCAUUUUCUCUACAUAGAACACUGCUGGUGGUGCACUAUUUAGGGAAUAGGGUGCCCAUUUGGGAAUCAUUCAUACUUCUAUCUCUAACAAUACACUGUAGCCAAGCCAAUAAGCCAGCCCCAUUACUAGAGGUUCUAAACAUUGGUCCAAUCAGAGAUAAUUGGUAUUCUAAUAGGAGUCAUAUGAACAUGUGUUCUGGGAUUUAUUCUCUAGGUUUAAUGUGAAUGUGGUUUUAAUCAACUCGAGGUUGACUUUCCCUAGUCACUGUGCUUAUUUGAGGGGUUUACACAUGAGAACAGUGAAAAGAGAGCGAGAGAGAACAACUAUCGCCACCUGGUGGCCUGUUAUUGUAAUGACAACUGGAGAGUUCUUCAGAUGCCCUGGCAUGUUGAUGUCCGGCUGAUGGUUAAUGCCAAGUCUUUCUGGCUAAUGACUGUUUUGUCAAAUGUACACUAUAGUGGCCUGGAAAUACGAUGACAUUUCUAAAGUAGACAAAUAAUUAAUGGAAAACAACUUUGCUAUCAUUAUGAAGUCGUCAUGUUUACUUUAGAGAGAUGGCAAUGAUGCCAUCAGCUAGCAAUGUUGGUCAGAAAUAGCUAGCAAUGCUAACCUUAGCUAGCUAACAAUUGAGUGCUCUACCCUCAAUCUUAGCUAGUUAGCUAAAGUUUACUACAUCUAAACUCAAUCUGGAGACAUCACAAUGAUGACAAAUGCUUGUCCUACUAAUUAUUUCUAAUCUGUUCAAAUGGCGCCGUACUGGAUCAAUCAAUCAAAUAUAUUUAUUUAUAAAGCCCUUUUUUACAUCAGCUGAUAUCUCAAAGUGCAGUACAGAAAUCCAGCCUAAAACCCCAAACAGCAAGCAAUGCAGGUGUGGAAGCACGGUGGCUAGGAAAAACUCCCUAGAAAGGCCAAAACCUAGGAAGAAACCUAGAGAGGAACCUGGCUAUGUGGGGUGGCCAGUCCUCUUCUGGCUGUGCCGGGUGGAGAUUAUAACAGAACAUGGCCAAGAUGUUCAAACGUUCAUAGAUGACCAGAAGAGUCAAAUAAUAAUAAUCACAGUGGUUGUAGAGGGUGCAACAGGUCAGCACCUCAGGAGUAAAUGUCAGUUGGCUUUUCAUAGCCGAUCAUUCAGAGUUAGAGACAGCAGGUGCGGUAGAAAGAGGGUCCAAAACAGCAGGUCUGGGACAGGUGGCACGUCUAGUGAACAGGUCAGGGUUCCAUUGCCGCAGGCAGAACAGUUGAAACUGGAGCAGCAGCAUGACCAGGUGGACUGGGGACAGCAAGGAGUCAUCAGACCAGGUAGUCCUGAGGAAUGGUCCUAGAGCUCAAGUUCUCCAAGAGAAGAGAGAGUGAAAGAGAGAGAGAGAGAGAAAGAGAGAGAGAGAAUUAGAGGGAGCAUACUUAAAUUCACACAGGACACUGGAUGAGACAGGAGAAGUACUCCAGAUAUAACAGACUGACCCCAGCCCCCCAACACAAUCUAUUACAGCAUAAAUACUGGAGGCUGAGACAUUGUUACACUGUGUAACCCUUCUUGGAAUGCCUGAUCGUCAAAUACCGAUCCUUCCACCUCCCGAGGGAGUUUUUUGCUAUUAUCGUGACUAUCGUAUACAUUCUACCUCAGGACUUGAAAAAUAACAAGCUAACUUAAAUCCAAAAGGCUGCUUUUCCGGUUGCUGGCGAUUCGCAUUAUUAAGACACGUAAUGCACAACUUCCAUCAACACGUCUUCAAAGCCACUAGGGGAGAUAAAGUUCUAGACCAUUGUUAUUCUACCCUCAAGCAAGCAGACUAGGCCCUCCCUCAUCAGGGCUACUGCAUACAGGGCUAUCAUAGACAACCCUGAGGAUACGGACAUACAGGGCUAUCGUAGACAACCCUGAGGAUACGGACAUACAGGGCUAUCGUAGACAACCCUGAGGAUACGGACAUACAGGGCUAUCGUAGACAACCCUGAGGAUACGGACAUACAGGGCUAUCGUAGACAACCCUGAGGAUACGGACAUACAGUGCUAUCGUAGACAACCCCGAGGACGGGAACAAGUACAGGAAGUACCGCUAUGGCCUCAAUGUAGUCUCAAUUCAUUAUGUGAUCUGAGGAUGAUUCCGCGGGCCGUAUUGAAUCAGAUCGCGGGCCGCAUACUGCCCCCAGGGCCAGCCUUUGCACUGCCCUAGAGGGUUCUCUAACAACCGUCUGUAAUGCCCUAGAGGGUUCCCUAACAACCGUCUGUAAUGCCCUAGAGGGUCCCCUAACAACCGUCUGAAAUGCCCUAGAGGGUCCCCUAACAACCGUCUGUAAUGCCCUAGAGGGUCCCCUAACAACCGCCUGAAAUGCCCUAGAGGGUUCCUUAACAACCGUCUGAAAUGCCCUAGAGGGUUCCCUAACAACCGUUUGAAAUGCCCUAGAGGGUUCCCUAACAACCGUCUGAAAUGCCCUAGAGGGUUCCCUAACAACCGUCUGUAAUGCCCUAGAGGGUUCCCUAACAACCGUCUGUAAUGCCCUAGAGGGUUCCCUAACAACCGUCUGUAAUGCCCUAGAGGGUCCCAUAACAACUGUCUGAAAUGCCCUAGAGGGUCCCCUAACAACCGUCUGUAAUGACCUAGAGGGUCCCCUAACAACCGCCUGAAAUGCCCUAGAGGGUUCCCUAACAACCGUCUGAAAUGCCCUAGAGGGUUCCCUAACAACCGUCUGUAAUGCCCUAGAGGGUUCCCUAACAACCGUCUGUAAUGCCCUAGAGGGUUCCCUAACAACCGUCUGAAAGGCCCUAGAGGGUUCCCUAACAACCGUCUGUAAUGCCCUAGAGGGUUCCCUAACAACCGUCUGAAAUGCCCUAGAGGGUCCCCUAACAACCGUCUGUAAUGCCCUAGAGGGUUCCCUAACAACCGUCUGAAAUGCCCUAGAGGGUUCCCUAACAACCGUCUGUAAUGCCCUAGAGGGUUCCCUAACAACCGUCUGUAAUGCCCUAGAGGGUUCCCUAACAACCGUCUGUAAUGCCCUAGAGGGUUCCCUAACAACCGUCUGUAAUGCCCUAGAGGGUUUUAGGGAACCCUCUAGGGCAUUACAGAUGAUUUUUGAAUGACUACCUCAUCUCUGUACCCCAUACAUACAACUAACUGUAAAGUUCCUGAGUCGAACAGUACAUUUCAAACACAGAAUCAACUGCAAAGACCAGGGAGGUUUUCUAAUGCCUCACAAAGAGGAGCAUCCAUUGAUAUUUUUUAACCUUUAUAAAAUUAGGCAAGUCAGUUAAGAACAAAUUCUUGUUUUACAAUGAGGGCCUACACCAGCCAAACCCAGAUGACGCUGGACCAAUUGUGAGCCGCCCUAUGGGACUCCCAAUCACAGCCGGUUGUGAUACAGCCUGGAUAGAUGGGUAAAAAUAAAAAUAUCAGACAUUGAAUAUCCCUUUGAUCAUGGUGAAGUUAUUAAUUACACUUUGGAUGGUGUAUCAAUACACCCAGUCAUUACAAAGAUACAGGCGUCCGUCCUAACUCAGUUGCUGGAGAGGAAGGAAACUGUUCAGGGAUUUCACCAUGAGACCAAUGGUGACUUUAAAACAGUUACAUAGUUUAAUGGCUGUGAUGGGAGAAAACUGAGGAUGGAUCAACAACAUUGUAGUUACUCCACAAUACUAAUAUAUUUGACAGAGUGAAAAGAAGGAAGCCUGUACAGAAUAAUGCAUUAAAGUAAUGCUGCUAAAAAUGUCCCAAAGCAAUUAACUUUUUGUCCUGAAAACAAGGUGUUUGGUGCAAAUCUAAUACAACACAUCACUGAGUACAACUCUGCAUAUGUUCAAGCAUGGUGGUGGCUGCAUCAUGUUAUGGGUAUGCUUGUCAUCGUUAAGGACUGGGGAGUUUUUCAGGAUCAAAAAGAAACAGAAUGCUGAUGAAUACAUGCAAAAUCCGAGAGGAAAACCUGGUUCAGUCUGUUUUCCACCAGACACUGGGAUAUUAAUUCACAUUUCAGCAGGACAAUAACCUAAAACACAAGGCCAAAUCGACACUGGAGUUGUUUACCAAACAGACAGUGAGUGUUCCUGUGCGGCCGAGUUACAGUUUUGACUUAAACCUACUGAAAAUAGUUGUCUAGCAUUGAUUAACAACCAUUUUGAUAGCUUGAAGAAUUUUGAAAAUAAUAAUGGUCAAAUGUUGCACAAUCCAAGGUGUAGAGACAUACCCAGAAAGACAAAUAGCUGUAAUCACUGACAAAAGUGCUUCUACAAAUAUUCACUCAGGGGUGUGUAUUAUGUACAUUCAAUAGUUCUGUAUUUCAUUAUAAAUACAUUUGCUAACAUUUCUAAAAACAUGUUUUCACUUUGUCGUUAUGGGGUAUUGUGUGUAGAUGGGUGAGAUAAAAACAAUGUUUUAAUAAAUGUUGUAUUCAGGCUGUAACACAAAGAAAUGGGGAAUAAGUCAAGGGGUAUGAAUACUUUCUGAAGGCUCUGUAACGUUUCGUCAAUCCAUAUGCCCAGAUAUUUAGGCAGGAUACUCAAGUGGGCGAGUCCAAGGGGACACGUGUCUUAGACUUUAUUUCAGGAGUCUAAAAUACUCCACAUUAUCCAGAGAAGACGGUUUGAGAACUUCUAAUCAGGGUUUUGUAUAGUGCACACCAGCUUUUCCUAUUGGCUCCUAGUGAUGUAAAGUAUUUAAGUAAAAACACUUGAAAGUACUUCUUAA
Molecule: long non-coding RNA, 6933 nt
Organism: Oncorhynchus tshawytscha (Chinook salmon)
Lineage: Eukaryota; Metazoa; Chordata; Actinopteri; Salmoniformes; Salmonidae
Source: Ensembl